AUGGAUAGAGGGAUGGGUGGAUGGAUGGAAGGAUGGAGUGGCGAAAGCCUGGGCUCACACCAGGCGGGCACGCGGUGUUGGAGGAGGAGCAGCCGCAACAAUAAUAGUAGCAGCAGCAACGUAGGAAUCAGGGCGUUUGCUCCCUCUGCUUGUACAUUUACACCUUCGCUGCUUUCCAUUGAAACGACGCCGGCGAUUGCAGGACGCGGUGGACCAGCGCUCCCUGCUCCUGGAGGCUUUUGUUCUGAGGCGCCCGGACCCUGUUCAUCUCUGGUCGGGCACACAGGCAGGCUGACUGCACAAGCCUGCCCUGGGCGGUCCAGUGGCCGGACUCAGACAAACGAGAGUCAGGCGCCGCCUGCUGGCGACUGGGCUCUGAUUUCCCUCCACUCAACUGCCCAAGGAGCCACAGACAGAAUACCAGUCUGGAAACCAGAAUCGACCCUCACCUGCCCGUUCGGUGACCCUGAGUAGGGCAUCUACUAUCUCUGACUUCACUUCUGCUGCUGCUAAGUCACUUCAGUCGUGUCCGACUCUGUGCGACCCCAUAGACGGCAGCCCACCAGGCUCCCCUGUCCCUGGGAUUCUCCAGGCAAGAACACUGGAGUGGGUUGCCAUUGCCUUCUCCAAUGCAUGAAAGUGAAAAGUGAAAGUGAAGUCGCUCAGUUGUGUCUGACUCUUAGCGACCCCAUGGACUGCAGCCUACUAGGCUCCUCCAUCCAUGGGAGUUUCCAGGCAAGAGUAGUGGAGUGGGGUGCCAUUGCCUUCUCCAGAUAAAAUGAAGCAAAUUGGCGUGAAUGUGCCUCUCUUAAAUGGAAGCUACUUUGGUCAUUGGUGUCUUAAGCCAAAACGCAAAGUCUCUGGGGCAUACAUUCUCGUGGUUAUUCAGUCUCUAAGUCAGGUCUGACUCUCUGGCGAUCCUGUGGACUGUAGCCCGCCAGGUUCUUCUGUCCAUGGGAUUCUCCAGGCAAGAAUACUGGAGUGGUUUGCCAUUUCCUUCUCUAGGGAAACUUCCAGACCCAGGGAUCAAAUCCAAGUCUCCUGAAUUGGCAGGCAGAUUCUUUACCACUAAGCCACCGGGGAAGCCCUGGGUAUACAUUGUAUGUAUUAGCCACUCAGUCGUGUCCAACACUUUGUGACUCCAUGGACAACUCCAUGGUUGCCAUUCCCUUCUCAAGGGGAUCUUCCCAACCCAGGAAUCGAACCUGGGUCUCCUACAUUGCAGGCAGAUUCUUUACCAUCUGAGCCACCAGGGAUAUACUUUCGAAAACAAUAAAUUUAAAAUAAAAUGGAAAGUGAAUGGUUGA
Molecule: transfer RNA, 1307 nt
Filed under: Bos indicus x Bos taurus (hybrid cattle)
Lineage: Eukaryota; Metazoa; Chordata; Mammalia; Artiodactyla; Bovidae
Description: lncRNA (ENSBIXG00005002038.1)
Source: RNAcentral